AAUCUGGACCCUUCCUUGGUUACAAACUGGUCACCAAGGAAGGCCUAGGCCAAACUACCACAACUAUUCAGGAUCGAAGUUGAGGGAAAUAACUAGAAAAUUAUAGAUAUCCUUUAAGACAAAGGCUUUUAGUGCUUCUAUUUGUCCUCUAAAGAACAUUAGAUGAAGAACAAAGACUGAAUAGCCAUUCAGCAGAGGCUCCAUAUCAAUAAAAGUUCAAUUGACCUAAAAAAUUCAGAAGCCUUCUAAGGUAUUUUGUACAUUAAGGCUUGUGACCAUUUUGGACAGGGGAGUGCAGAAUGCAGCUGGUGCAUCCCUGACACCACAGGAUGAUGGUGAUGGCAGUGGAACAAAGUCAGUGUGCCUGGAAACUUCACCGCCACUAAAACUCAAGUGA
RNAcentral lists this long non-coding RNA (397 nucleotides) under Manacus vitellinus (golden-collared manakin). RNAcentral's name for it is "lncRNA (ENSMVIG00005009111.1)". The record is from RNAcentral. Lineage: Eukaryota; Metazoa; Chordata; Aves; Passeriformes; Pipridae.